RNAcentral lists this ribosomal RNA (570 nucleotides) under Triticum aestivum (bread wheat). RNAcentral's name for it is "partial small subunit ribosomal RNA". Lineage: Eukaryota; Viridiplantae; Streptophyta; Magnoliopsida; Poales; Poaceae. The record is from RNAcentral.
AAGGAUGGGUGAGAGGAAAAAUAUUGGGUUUUAUGGGAGCUCAUGACACAACCCAAAUUCAUGGGAGUUAUGGGUUUCCGUGAUAUUGAGCUUUUUAAUUUGACUUUGCUUGUCUACCAGGCAUGGCGCCUCUUUACAACACCUAACUCUCUAAGCCCCUGCAUUCUCAAGUCUAUUUAUUACCCCACAUGCUCUAUUAUUGAUGCGGACUUAGGAAACCAUCCCUCACAAGUGUGGCGGUCCAUUUUGGAAGGAAGAGAUACCAUCAAGUUAGGUCUUAUAAAGAGGUUUGACAAUGGGGAAGAUACGAAUAUUUUUUAUGAUAACUGGAUUCCUUGGGACUUCAAGUUGAGGUCGAUUUGUUCCAAAUCUUUGAAUCCAUCGCAAAAGGUCUCAAAACUUAUUUAUCACAACACAAAAUCAUGGAAUGCAACUAUAAUUGAUGAGCAUUUCUUUGAGAUGGACAAGGAGGCAAUCUUAAAUAUCCCCCUCAGUGUGCAUAUUACUGUCAUCAACAAAGAAGUAGCGUACGUAUUGGUUACAUCAUAUUCCAGGCCACUCUCAUAUUGA